CGCACUGCCUUCCGCAGCCGCGUGUCAUGCAUUUGUGCCGCACUUAGCGGACCGCCGCAGCGGCUUUUCUAUAAGCUCACCGCCUCCCGCGGCCGCUGUCUAUAUGCUCCUAAAUCAACGCCUUCAAUUCGGCGUGCCGCCGCGGCGGGCUUCCUAAGCGCACUGCCUUCCGCAGCCGCGUGUCAUGCAUUUGUGCCGCACAUAGCGGACCGCCGCAGCGGCUUUUCUACAAGCACACCGCCUCCCGCGGCCGCUGUCUAUAUGCUCCUAAAUCAACGCCUUCGAUUCGGCGUGCCGCCGCGGCGGGCUUCCUAAGCGCGCUGCCUUCCGCAGCCGCUUGUCAUGCAUUUGUGCCGCACUUAGCGGACCGCCGCGGCGGCUUUAUGAUGUAGCUGUAGUCCGUCCACACGUCCGAAGGCUCCGGGUCCGUCCACGCGUCUUGACUUCAACUUUCGUUUGCUUGCGGAUUUCUUGACGCCAUCCUGUAUGCCUGUCUUGCUCAUUGUUCUUUACGCCUUCGCACGUAGGGUAGCUGUUAUGUUGGUAAGUAUCCUGCACCGGGCUAUCUGGCGACUCGCGAGGAUACCAGGGUAAAUCAGGCGAACUCAAGACAAAGGGCGCCGAUCAAGCCCCUCGCAACCUCUUGCCAACCAAGAGCUACUCCCGGCAAAACGGACUCCCAGCUAAAGCCUCGCCAACUGCGGGAGGCCGAGAUAAAACCACCUUUCCUACUGACCUACGGACCUCGCGAACCCAACUAGAAUUCCCCCGCCCACCGACAAGCAACAGAACCCACUAUUCAGGUGCCUCUACUCACGGCCGAACCAACCCAACCACCCGCGCAGUGCCCGCGCGCUUCACUUACUUGCAUGGAUGCCGUUGGCCCGCAAUGUCGAUCUGCGCGUCGCCGUUGUUGUUGUCUUCUCAUAUAUAAGAGACGGCGUUCUAUUGUAGGCAAAACCAAAGAUAUAGGCAAUCUAACAUCACUCGUCAAGCGAUUUCGACCUCGACUUUUUCUAGUCUUUCUCGUCGUCUAUUUUCUGUAAUCCGUCUUAAUAAAGCUUAGUUGGUACCUGUUGUCUGACUCUGCAUUCUGUGCUGGAAUGGCCAAAACUCGGACUGUCUCGUCCUGGUGUGAUAUCCGUGGUUGGCAUAGGGCCCUCCGUACUUCUGUAUUUG
RNAcentral lists this long non-coding RNA (1179 nucleotides) under Volvox carteri. RNAcentral's name for it is "long non-coding RNA (VCAR_LNC001780)". The record is from RNAcentral. Lineage: Eukaryota; Viridiplantae; Chlorophyta; Chlorophyceae; Chlamydomonadales; Volvocaceae.